UGGCUCAGGAUGAACGCUGGCGGCGUGCUUAACACAUGCAAGUCGAACGGGGUAUUGACGCUGAGGAGACUUCGGUCAAAUCAUGUUGAUACCUAGUGGCGGACGGGUGAGUAACGCGUGGGUAACCUGCCAUAUACAGGGGGAUAACACUUAGAAAUAGGUGCUAAUACCGCAUAAGCGCACAGUGUCGCAUGACACGGUGUGAAAAGCCGAGACGGUAUAUGAUGGACCCGCGUCUGAUUAGCUAGUUGGAGAGGUAACGGCUCACCAAGGCGACGAUCAGUAGCCGGCCUGAGAGGGUGAACGGCCACAUUGGGACUGAGACACGGCCCAAACUCCUACGGGAGGCAGCAGUGGGGAAUAUUGCACAAUGGGGGAAACCCUGAUGCAGCGACGCCGCGUGAGUGAAGAAGUAUUUCGGUAUGUAAAGCUCUAUCAGCAAGGAAGAACAUGACGGUACUUGACUAAGAAGCCCCGGCUAACUACGUGCC
Molecule: ribosomal RNA, 491 nt
Filed under: uncultured organism
Description: SSU rRNA
Rfam family: Bacterial small subunit ribosomal RNA
Source: RNAcentral